RNAcentral lists this long non-coding RNA (2325 nucleotides) under Physcomitrium patens. RNAcentral describes it as "long non-coding RNA (PPAT_LNC000702)". Lineage: Eukaryota; Viridiplantae; Streptophyta; Bryopsida; Funariales; Funariaceae. The record is from RNAcentral.
UUGUUCAAAAUUGAAGUAUGCCGUAAAGUGCAGAAUGAAAAUGAACACUUACAAAUGAGCUGCUGCAAAGUUUCCAACUAGUGUUUGUUUAAAGUGAAACAUUUUGUCACAACUAAAUGCUAAGAGUGAAAGACCAGCAGCUUGGAUGAUCCAACGUUGUUUGCGUUGUGGACUUCGAACUCUUGCACAAGAUGAAGCAGUUUCAGUUUCUCAAAACUUCCACUGAUCUUGUGAGCAGCUUGUCUCCAGUCCUGCCAAGCUCACAGGAUCACAGUUUCACUCAAUUCUCUUUCAGUUAAUCCGCAUUUUUUCAUUCAGUUUGUAACAUCCUCUCACUCAAGCUCGAGACCAUGCUUCCAUGCGGAGUUGCUCUUUUACUCGUCUGAGAAGAUUCACAUGAACAUUUUUCAUGUUGAUUCUUAUCAGGUUCUGUCAAACAAUGUAUCAUGUGCACUUCCGCAAGGUCGUCUUGACCAGACCAACACGUCUCUUGAACUUGAAAGAGCAUCUGAAUGGGUUUUUGUGUAAUUUCAAAGGAGUUGCAGUAGAUUACACCAUCGGUAACUGAUAGUUCUCUGCAAGUGUAGAGACACGAUUCCUUACCGAAGGUUUGUAAAAUGGUUGCGUGCGUGUAAUGAGCUUGUUGUUCAGCUAGUGGCUGCGGCAGCUUAAAGAUGUAUGAGUUUUUGCUGUCAUGGGCUUCGUACUAUCAUUUAAGAAAUGCUUGUUUGUGGUUCAUACUUACCCAGGAUCUACUGAUAUCAACACUGGAGGCUUGAAGUUAGGUUAUGAGAUUUUCAAAGUCUUUUAUUAGGUGAAUUGCGAACUGUUGGCGUGCGCUCAACUACCAUUACUGCAAGCGAACUGUUGCCUGACUACUUCUAGUCGUUCUAAUUUUCGUUCAUGUGUCUACCCUUCCGAAAAGUCCUUCAGUUCUAUCAUUUUGUGAUGAUGUCGUGAACAUGUGAGUCAUCAUGUAUAUAUACGUGAAUAUCUGCCGUUGAAGUGGUCCCAGGCCAACCUGACUUUUAACGUUUCUGCUCAAGCACCGAUGCUGAAGGACGGUGACCACUUCUAUGCAGUUUUUGAGAGGAGAAGACAGACUAGUCCUGAAUGAGUACAAAUCUGCUACGCGCCUGACAAUCCUGAUUACGGAUAUUAGUCGACGACUUCUAUUCCUUCAAAAACCAACAAGCUCACCGACCAGCUGAUCACUUCUCUCCUCUCAAGUAGUAAGAACAGUUCAGAGAAGGCACAAUGACCCAUUACUUUCCCUAGGUACGGACUCAAGAUUUCUUGCUAGAUGGACCACAGAGUUUACGCCUGUGCACCCGCUUUUGGUUCUCACUCUCGUCAAGGUAGGAACUGGUGCGAUAGUUCUCUAAUCACAUAACCCUUGCUACGUAGCCACGAGAAAUUAAUUCUCUCUCUCCAGGCAGCACGCUUCGAAAUAUCCGCUCGAGGAACCCAGUAUCAUGCCGAUGAUACCAAUCGGUUCUUAUUGAGUAUCGCCAGUUGAUCGAGAUAUUUCCGCAGCGGAUUGCAACGUAAUCCUUACGGUGCAUGUCUGUACCUCCAGUGGAAAUCGUCAAAAAAGCUAUUGCUGCUGCGCAACGGAUCCAAAGUCCAAUCUCACGGAGGGUCCACCAUAGUAUUCGGAGAGAGGUAAUGAAAAGAACCCAACAAGGCCCCUCUCUUCUCGAUCAUCACUCGUCAGCCAUUUCAGUCAUAUGGGCCACUGCCAGUCAUUGUACGCGAGACCGCCAACCGAUUGUACCAGCACUUUCCACACCAAUCACCACACCAUGAAAUCACCGCAAUUGUCUUCAACCUCACGCAGAGGGAAAAAGUCCUGAGUGGCGACCUCCGUUUCAAUCCCACAUACCUCACUACUAGUCACAAAACCUACUCCAACAAAUUUCAAACCCGCUAAACAAGCACCAGAGACUGACUGGCAUCACGCCAAUCCUUUUUCCGCCUCCCGUGCCGCGGUCUCGACAUCGUGUCAUCGCGUCUCAAGAACUGAUUAUGGGUUCAGGACUCCUUCUCAUCAGAGCAGUUGGCAUCCAUGAACUCAUUCACCACCUGACGAAUGCAUGGGGUGGUGACGGAGACUGCAGUGAACGUGGAGCCUGUUGAAUCUCGUGGCUGGUCACUAGUAAAGCCAGAAACGACAGAAACGAAUCCUUGGCGAAGGUGGGGAGUGGGUGUGGAUCCAUGGGACAGAGGGGAAUCCGAGGUGGAGAUGUUUCAGCAGAAGUUGAAGAAGAAGAAGGGGUCGGUGGCACUAAAGCAGCGGCAGCAAGGGAAAGAGGAGGAGGGGGG